CCUACGGGUGGCAGCAGUGAAGAAUAUUGGUCAAUGGCCGGAAGGCUGAACCAGCCAUGCCGCGUGAAGGUCAGUGCCCUAUGGGCGUUAAACUUCUUUUGUGCGGGAGCAAUAAUGGUCACGUGUGGCCAGACGAGAGUACCGUACGAAUAAGCAUCGGCUAACUCCGUGCCAGCAGCCGCGGUAAUACGGGGGAUGCAAGCGUUAUCCGGAUUUAAUGGGUUUAAAGGGUGCGUAGGCUGUGAGGUAAGGCAGCGGUGAAAUGCCCCCGCUCAACGGGGUGAAGUGACAUUGAUACUGGCUAGCUUGAAUGCGGAUGCGGUGGGAGGAAUGUGUGGUGUAGCGGUGAAAUGCAUAGAUAUCACACAGAACACCGAUUGCGAAGGCAUCUCACGAGUCCGCGAUUGACGCUGAUGCACGAAAGCGUGGGUAUCAAACAGGAUUAGAUACCCCAGUAGUC
Molecule: ribosomal RNA, 460 nt
Filed under: uncultured bacterium
Lineage: Bacteria
Description: partial 16S ribosomal RNA
Rfam family: Bacterial small subunit ribosomal RNA
Source: RNAcentral